RNAcentral lists this ribosomal RNA (771 nucleotides) under Anabaena laxa RPAN18. RNAcentral's name for it is "bacterial SSU rRNA". It matches the Rfam family "Bacterial small subunit ribosomal RNA", at positions 90 to 1060 of the family's 1533-position model. Lineage: Bacteria; Bacillati; Cyanobacteriota; Cyanophyceae; Nostocales; Nostocaceae. The record is from RNAcentral.
CAAAUCCGGCAAGAGAAGUGUCAAUUAAUGUAGUAUGUUCUCUUACUAAAGAAUCCCCUCCUAUUUAUAUUUCCCAAAGGUGGGGAUUCUUCGCAAUGGGCGAAAGCCUGACGGAGCAAUACCGCGUGAGGGAGGAAGGCUCCUGGGUUGUAAACCUCUUUUCUCAGGGAAGAACACAAUGACGGUACCUGAGGAAUCAGCAUCGGCUAACUCCGUGCCAGCAGCCGCGGUAAUACGGAGGAUGCAAGCGUUAUCCGGAAUGAUUGGGCGUAAAGCGUCCGCAGGUGGCUGUGUAAGUCUGCUGUCAAAGAGCAAAGCUCAACUUUGUAAAGGCAGUGGAAACUACACGGCUAGAGUGCGUUCGGGGCAGAGGGAAUUCCUGGUGUAGCGGUGAAAUGCGUAGAGAUCAGGAAGAACACCGGUGGCGAAGGCGCUCUGCUAGGCCGCAACUGACACUGAGGGACGAAAGCUAGGGGAGCGAAUGGGAUUAGAUACCCCAGUAGUCCUAGCUGUAAACGAUGGAUACUAGGCGUGGCUUGUAUCGACCCGAGCCGUGCCGUAGCUAACGCGUUAAGUAUCCCGCCUGGGGAGUACGCACGCAAGUGUGAAACUCAAAGGAAUUGACGGGGGCCCGCACAAGCGGUGGAGUAUGUGGUUUAAUUCGAUGCAACGCGAAGAACCUUACCAAGGCUUGACAUGUCGCGAACUCUUCUGAAAGGAAGAGGUGCCUUCGGGAGCGCGAACACAGGUGGUGCAUGGUUGUCGUCAGCA